UACGUAGGGUGCGAGCGUUGUCCGGAAUUAUUGGGCGUAAAGAGCUUGUAGGCGGUUUGUCGCGUCUGCUGUGAAAUUUCGGGGCUCAACCCCGAACUUGCAGUGGGUACGGGCAGACUAGAGUGUGGUAGGGGAGACUGGAAUCCCUGGUGUAGCGGUGAAAUGCGCAGAUAUCAGGAGGAACACCGAUGGCGAAGGCAGGUCUCUGGGCCACUACUGACGCUGAGAAGCGAAAGCAUGGGGAGCGAACAGG
This 253-nucleotide ribosomal RNA is filed under the name uncultured bacterium. Its description in RNAcentral is "partial 16S ribosomal RNA". It matches the Rfam family "Bacterial small subunit ribosomal RNA", at positions 524 to 776 of the family's 1533-position model. The record is from RNAcentral.